CUGGGAGAGAAACCCAAACUACGAGUCAGAGUGAGUAGUUCCAAAACCCGAAGUGGACUAACGGAGCGGAAGUCUACAGCCGAGGGCUAAUGUACCCGAAUCCAUACAAAAGGUGACGUGGACUUGAGAAAACGAGUCGGAUCAGCAUUAAUUGUGGACUGCUGUGUCUUGGAAACUUGAUCAGCGUGCUUGGUGAUGAAGGCAAGAAGGGAACUUUCGUACAGAGACUCUAAGCUGACGCGUCUUCUCCAGGUUCUGCUACUCCUGGAAGAGGACGAGGACGUGGCAGGGGUCGGGGUGCUGCCAUUCCGUUAGAAAGUGUUGAUAUGCAGCGAGUCCAGAUGUUGCGGGCUGAACGACUCACGUCAGAGCAAGACAGGAUCCAGAGUCUUAGUCUUCAGGAGUCACAUCAGCUCCUGCAGAGAUGCCUUACCAGGGACAUCAUGGCCACACAGGACACCCCUGCAGCAGCCCCCACUCCUAUCCCGGGUCAUCCUACCUGGUGUGUGUGUCUGCAUUGCAGAGAAAUGCCAACAGACAUAGAAAGCAAGUGUUUUGGACAACGUUCGAACAGUUGCAUUUCCACCCUACCCCAUUUUGGUCCUUAGAUUAUCAAGGAGGGUCUGGAAUGACAUAAGGGCUGUCCAGGAUGCCCCAGAACCUGGUGAAAGCAAUAAACGGUUCUGACAUGCUGCCUACAGGCAAUAUGUGGUUUGGCAGUAUGGGUUCCUUGGCCCAGGACAUAGGGUUGUCAUACCAAGCUGCUGCGUGUGUAAGAUCAGAGAGCAUUACCCAGAUCCACAUGGUCAGUAUACCGGGUUUGUAUCUAGUAGAGUUUAGACCCACCUGUUGUUCUAAAUAGUUUGACUGAUAAUAUUUUAUAAAUAUAUUUAACAUUUUCAGUGUGAUAAUGGUUUUUGGCCAUGGUUCUGUUCACAUUUUACUGUUCAUUUUAUUACUGUUAUUUAUUUCAUAGUUUUCUUGUUUACAUUACAUUUUUCUUUUCAUAAAUUGUAUGUAUUUGGUAUUGUUAAAUUAUGUCUUAUUAAAUAUUAUAAAAUGACAUGAGAGUAUGGGUGUCUGUCAUAUACACUUUACAAUAGAUAAGUAAAAGAACGUGUCACACAUUGAUUCAUUGAUUGAAGUUCACAACAGCAACAUGUGGAGUUGGCCCUCAUUCUGGUGCUUCUGGGUGCCCUGUACACAAAGAAACACAAAAAGUGAUUUUCAAUAUUUAUUUAUUUUUAACUCAAAACAAUCAAAAGUGUGAUGGUUUAUAAAACGUUAGCAGCAACAAAAAGAAAGAACCAUGGACAUUUUAUUCUAACAACUCUAACACACUUGCUAACAUGGAUAGAUUUAUAUGUUUUAUAUAAGUUUCUGUAAAGUAUAUAUAUAUAUAUAUGAGACUUAUUGGUAUUUCAGAUAUGUCUAGUAUAAUACUCAUCUAGGUAUGAAAUUUUUAAAGAUAUGGAGUAUACACCCACAAUGGAGAAAAUAUAUAUACUGGUGAUGGUGUGUAUAUUGUUAUUUGUAUAUGUAUGUAUUGUGGAUGUGUAUACACAUGGUAAAUGGACUGCAUUUAUAUAGCACUUUUAACAGACCUAUGGCCAUCCAAAGCGCUUUACAAUUAGCCUCACAUUCACCCAUUCACUCACACAUUCAUACACCGAUGGCGGUGUACACACAUACAUACCACACACGGGCAUGGUGCAAUAUUACAUUUUUACCUCUGCAAUGAUUUGAUUAUGUGGGUAUUGUUGAUGUACAGUCUUGUUCAA
Long non-coding RNA from Paramisgurnus dabryanus, 1781 nucleotides. RefSeq lists it as uncharacterized. NCBI's taxonomy places the organism in Eukaryota, Metazoa, Chordata, Actinopteri, Cypriniformes, Cobitidae. The record is from RefSeq and is a predicted model, not a curated record.